RNAcentral lists this ribosomal RNA (521 nucleotides) under uncultured bacterium. RNAcentral describes it as "bacterial SSU rRNA". It matches the Rfam family "Bacterial small subunit ribosomal RNA", at positions 8 to 523 of the family's 1533-position model. The record is from RNAcentral.
AGAGUUUGAUCCUGGCUCAGGACGAACGCUGGCGGCGUGCUUAACACAUGCAAGUCGAACGGGGUCCAGUCUGUAGCAAUACAGAGGAAGACCUAGUGGCGAACGGGUGAGGAACACGUGAGAAAUCUGUCCCGAACUCUGGGAUAACAGUUGGAAACGACUGCUAAUACCGGAUGCCGUCACCAGAUCGCAUGAUCAGGUGACGAAAGUUUUUCGGUUCGGGAGGAUCUCGCGGCCUAUCAGCUUGUUGGUGGGGUAACGGCCUACCAAGGCUUCGACGGGUAGCUGGUCUGAGAGGAUGAUCAGCCACACUGGGACUGAGACACGGCCCAGACUCCUACGGGAGGCAGCAGUGGGGAAUAUUGGUCAAUGGGAGCAAUCCUGAACCAGCAAUGCCGCGUGUGGGAUGACAGGGCUUCGCCUUGUAAACCACUGUCGGAUGGGACGAGAAGAGGUAAGAACCUCUGGGACGGUACCGUCAAAGGAAGGAUCGGCUAACUACGUGCCAGCAGCCGCGGUAA